This 1512-nucleotide ribosomal RNA is filed under the name Staphylococcus aureus M1016. Its description in RNAcentral is "bacterial SSU rRNA". It matches the Rfam family "Bacterial small subunit ribosomal RNA". The record is from RNAcentral. Lineage: Bacteria; Bacillati; Bacillota; Bacilli; Caryophanales; Staphylococcaceae.
GGAAACCCAGCAUGAGUUAUGUCAUGUUAUCGAUAUGUGAAUACAUAGCAUAUCAGAAGGCACAGGCGGACGGGUGAGUAACACGUGGAUAACCUACCUAUAAGACUGGGAUAACUUCGGGAAACCGGAGCUAAUACCGGAUAAUAUUUUGAACCGCAUGGUUCAAAAGUGAAAGACGGUCUUGCUGUCACUUAUAGAUGGAUCCGCGCUGCAUUAGCUAGUUGGUAAGGUAACGGCUUACCAAGGCAACGAUGCAUAGCCGACCUGAGAGGGUGAUCGGCCACACUGGAACUGAGACACGGUCCAGACUCCUACGGGAGGCAGCAGUAGGGAAUCUUCCGCAAUGGGCGAAAGCCUGACGGAGCAACGCCGCGUGAGUGAUGAAGGUCUUCGGAUCGUAAAACUCUGUUAUUAGGGAAGAACAUAUGUGUAAGUAACUGUGCACAUCUUGACGGUACCUAAUCAGAAAGCCACGGCUAACUACGUGCCAGCAGCCGCGGUAAUACGUAGGUGGCAAGCGUUAUCCGGAAUUAUUGGGCGUAAAGCGCGCGUAGGCGGUUUUUUAAGUCUGAUGUGAAAGCCCACGGCUCAACCGUGGAGGGUCAUUGGAAACUGGAAAACUUGAGUGCAGAAGAGGAAAGUGGAAUUCCAUGUGUAGCGGUGAAAUGCGCAGAGAUAUGGAGGAACACCAGUGGCGAAGGCGACUUUCUGGUCUGUAACUGACGCUGAUGUGCGAAAGCGUGGGGAUCAAACAGGAUUAGAUACCCUGGUAGUCCACGCCGUAAACGAUGAGUGCUAAGUGUUAGGGGGUUUCCGCCCCUUAGUGCUGCAGCUAACGCAUUAAGCACUCCGCCUGGGGAGUACGACCGCAAGGUUGAAACUCAAAGGAAUUGACGGGGACCCGCACAAGCGGUGGAGCAUGUGGUUUAAUUCGAAGCAACGCGAAGAACCUUACCAAAUCUUGACAUCCUUUGACAACUCUAGAGAUAGAGCUUUCCCCUUCGGGGGACAAAGUGACAGGUGGUGCAUGGUUGUCGUCAGCUCGUGUCGUGAGAUGUUGGGUUAAGUCCCGCAACGAGCGCACAACCCUUAAGCUUAGUUGCCAUCAUUAAGUUGGGCACUCUAAGUUGACUGCCGGUGACAAACCGGAGGAAGGUGGGGAUGACGUCAAAUCAUCAUGCCCCUUAUGAUUUGGGCUACACACGUGCUACAAUGGACAAUACAAAGGGCAGCGAAACCGCGAGGUCAAGCAAAUCCCAUAAAGUUGUUCUCAGUUCGGAUUGUAGUCUGCAACUCGACUACAUGAAGCUGGAAUCGCUAGUAAUCGUAGAUCAGCAUGCUACGGUGAAUACGUUCCCGGGUCUUGUACACACCGCCCGUCACACCACGAGAGUUUGUAACACCCGAAGCCGGUGGAGUAACCUUUUAGGAGCUAGCCGUCGAAGGUGGGACAAAUGAUUGGGGUGAAGUCGUAACAAGGUAGCCGUAUCGGAAGGUGCGGCUGGAUCACCU